GUGAACGGCAUUGAUGCAUCGUGCAAAUGGCAACAUUUUUUUAAAUAUAGUGCAAAUGGCAACAAGGUCCCAAAGAUUACAAGGCUUGGAGCUUUUGGAGAAUGGAGUACAAAAUCAAGAACUGAUCCUGAUAGCCGCAUUAAAAGACGUCGAGGACCAACUAAAUUGGCAAAUGUUGAAAAUCUUCCAGAGGGUGUUAAGAUUAUUGACAAACUGGAUCGUUUCAAUGUACCUUGCUCCCAAUCUGCUAUAGUUCUUGGAUCCUAUUUAGGAACACUUGUCAGGAAGCCAUAUCUAACUCCACUGAACAUUCUUCAAUGGAAUCAUAAACUUUAUAAGAGAGUAUAUUAUUCAAAAAUGAUUUCUGAAGUAGAGAGAAAGUUUGCAAUUGAUGGAAGAGCUAAUAAUUGGAUUCUCCACCAGUUAGAUGGCAAAUUGAGACAGUACAAGUCAAAACUGAAAAAGGGCUAUUACAAGCCUAACUUACCUAUGGAACGAGCAUUGCAAACUGUGCCCAAAACUGUUGCUGAAUCUCAAUGGGCCACCCUAGUUUCUUACUGGUACUCAGAGGAUUCUAAGAAUGAAGUAUAUAUGAAAUUGGCUGAGAAAAGAGUGGAUGGCCAAGAAGUCAGUGUAGCUGAUUUUGAACAAACUAUGUUAGAAGUGUUUGGACAGGAUCGUAGUGGUAGAGUUAGAGGCAUGGGUCCAACCAUUAUUCCAACAAACUAUUAUGGUGGAAGAUUUUCGAAUAUAUUAGGAAGCAGUGAAGGGAGUAGCUCCAGUAAUGUAAAUGGUUUCAUUAGUUUUAUAGUAUCAUAUUUGACUGAGAAAUAUCCAGAGGAUAAUUUGAUUUCUAGGUUACCACCAUCGGUUGCUAGGGUCAUUCCAAGACAAGAGAAUCAUGGAAAUCAGCUACCAAAUACUACUCCACCCUCUAGUGCUAGAGCAUCAUCUCAGUCUUGCAGUGAAGAAGAGUGA
RNAcentral lists this long non-coding RNA (978 nucleotides) under Oryza sativa tropical japonica subgroup. RNAcentral describes it as "lncRNA OsCMeo_09g0000810". Lineage: Eukaryota; Viridiplantae; Streptophyta; Magnoliopsida; Poales; Poaceae. The record is from RNAcentral.